UUAAAGGAAUUGACGGGGCCGCACAAGCGGUGAGUAUGUGGUUAAUUCGACGCAACGCGCAGAACCUUACCUGGUCUUGACAUCCCGAGAAUUCCUUGAAAGAGGGAAGUGCCUCGCAAGAGGAGCUUGGAGACAGGUGCUGCAUGGCUGUCGUCAGCUCGUGUCGUGGGAUGUUGGGUUAAGUCCCGCAACGAGCGCAACCCUUGUCUUUAGUUGCCAUCAUUUAGUUGGGCACUCUAAAGAGACUGCCGGUGUCAAACCGGAGGAAGGUGGGGAUGACGUCAAGUCCUCAUGGCCUUUAUGACCAGGGCUACACACGUACUACAAUGGCCGGUACAAAGGGCAGCCACUUAGCGAUAAGGAGCCAAUCCCGUAAAGCCGGUCUCAGUCCGGAUUGGAGUCUGCAACUCGACUCCAUGAAGUUGGAAUCGCUAGUAAUCGCAGAUCAGCACGCUGCGGUGAAUACGUUCCCGGGCCUU
This 479-nucleotide ribosomal RNA is filed under the name uncultured Desulfocapsa sp. RNAcentral's name for it is "bacterial SSU rRNA". It matches the Rfam family "Bacterial small subunit ribosomal RNA", at positions 901 to 1382 of the family's 1533-position model. The record is from RNAcentral. Lineage: Bacteria; Pseudomonadati; Thermodesulfobacteriota; Desulfobulbia; Desulfobulbales; Desulfocapsaceae.